Molecule: long non-coding RNA, 5424 nt
Organism: Pipra filicauda (Wire-tailed manakin)
Lineage: Eukaryota; Metazoa; Chordata; Aves; Passeriformes; Pipridae
Exons: 3
Source: RefSeq, a predicted model, not a curated record
GCCGAGCGGGAGCACAAAGAAGAGCAGCCCAAAGAUCUCCGGGUGCGGAGGUCACAGUCCACUCAGGAGCAUUCACUGGUCCCUUGACUCGUGAGGCGUGAGUCCACCCUCUUUCGGCCGUCCGGACUGCUGUGUCUGUGGUUAAGAGAAUGAUAAAAGGUCCCUCCCAGCGAGGGGUUAAUGAGGAUUCUUUCCAUGUUUUAAUUAAUACCCAAUCACCAGGCUGAAACUUAUGUAUUGUCAUAUCUAAAGGGGGUCUCUGUGCUACCAUCCCCUUCUUUCUCAAUUCUUUUCUCCUUUUCAUUAAUUCAACAAUGUAUUCUCUUAAAAGGACUUCUUCUGGUUUUGGAUUUUCUAUUGGAGUCCCAAAAUCAUAAGGCAUUCCAUACAUCAUUUCAAAAGGAGAAAUUCCUGUAUCUGUUCGUGGCUGGGUUCGAAUAUGUAACAAGGCUAAGGGUAAACACUUUACCCAAUUCAUUCUUGUCUCUAUCAUUAAUUUGAUCAAAUGCUUCUUUAUUUCUCCGUUCAUUUUUUCUACUCUACCAGAACUUUGUGGAUGCCAGGGGGUAUGAUAUUCCCACUUGGUUCCAAAAAGUUCUGUUACUUCUUUAAUUAUUUUGGAGGUAAAGUGUGUUCCCCUGUCCGAGUCCACUACUGCCACAAUACCAUAUCUUGGGAUAAUUUCUUCCAGUAAAAUUUUGAUUACUGUUUUAGCCGUACACCAUGCAACAGGAAAAGCUUCAACAAAAUGAGUAAGAUGAUCGACUAAAACUAAUAAAUAUUGAUAUCUCCCUACCUUUGGUAAUUCAGUAAAGUCUGCCUGUAUCUUUUCAAAAGGUCUUUUAGCUAGUUCUCGUCCUCCUUGAACUUUUUCCCUCAAUUGUCUUUUAUUUACUUUUUGACAAGUUAAACAUCCUUCAAGAAUUCUUUUUGCUAUUCCAUAAGCUCCCACACAGGCAAAUUUGUUCUCAAAUUGAUCUACUAAAGCCUGUGUUCCUCAGUGUGUCUGCUCAUGCAGUUUCCUCAUUAUUUUCUGAGCAAGACCAUUCAGAAGUACUUCACGACCGUCUGGUAAUAACCAUUUAUUGUUUUCUUCUUUUGCUCCAGAUUGUCACAGUUUCUCUUUCUCCUGUUCACUGAAACUUUUUGGGACAUCUAUGUCCUCCUGUUCUGAACUGGCCAUCACUAAUAAAGCUGCCCUCUUUGCUUCCUCAUCUGCUAAAUUAUUUCCUCUGACAGUAACUUUCAGUCCCUUUUGGUGUCCCUUAAGAUACACAAUUGCAAUCUGCUUUGGUUUUCUCAGGGCUUUUAAAAUUUCCCGAAUUAGAGUUUCAUGAAUAAGUCCCUUACCUUGUGUAUUAAUCAGUCCUCUUUCCUCCCAUAUCUUGCCGAAAGUAUGAACUAUCCCAAAUGCAUACUUAGAAUCUGUAAAUAUAGUGCCUGCCUUUCCGUCUAAUAGCUGUAAUGCUCUCAACAGCGCAUAUAAUUCACAAGCCUGAGCUGACCACGCCUUGUCUAAGGGUCCGGACUCCUGGACUUGAAAAGUCACUCCGUCUAUUACUGCGUAUCCUGACUUUCGAUUUCCAUUAACCACUCUAAACAAACCAUCGAUGUAUAAUUUCUCUCCUUCACUCAACUCCUCUUCCUAUAAAUCUUCCCUAAUUUUUGUCUGAAGAUUUAUUACUUGUAGACAAUCAUGUACCAGAUCUCCCUUGGGCUCUCCAUAUAAGCAGUGGGCUGGGUUUUGUAGAUUUGUCACUUCUAGCUCCAGUUUGGGUGAGUGUAACAAGAUGCUUUCGUACUUUAGCAACCGACUAUCUGUUAGCCAUUUCUCAGCUCUCUGCUGCAGCACUCCCCUUAUGUUGUGAGGGGUGAAAACUUUUAAUUCUCCUCCAAAGGUUACUUUUAUAGCUUCCUCAACUAACAAAGCCAUAGCUUGCAGACAGGUUGGCCAUCCCCUACUUACUGGGUCUAAUAAUUUAGAAUAAUAUCCAACUGGUUUCCUCUGUCCGACCCACGUCUGAGUUAAGACUCCAUAGGCCGUGCCAUUCUCAGUAUUUACAAAUAGAUAGAAAGGUUUCUGAUUAUCUGGCAAACUCAGCACACAGGUGCAUUCACCAAAUCCUCCUUUAACUUUUCUAAUUGUUCCUCGUCUUUGUCACUCCACUUUACCAACCCAUCUUUUGUCAAUUUUUCAUAUAAAAAUUUAACUUUACUACUAUAAUUUUCAAUCCAUUGUCAGCACUACCCGAAUAAGCCCAAGAGUUGCCUAAUUUGUCUUUUAGUUUUGGGCAUAGGUAAUGACAAAAUUCCAUUUACUCGAUCGGGGUCUAAUCUCUUGUGUCCUCUACUUAGCCAGUGUCCUAAAUGCUUAACUUCCUCCUCUGUAAAUUGCAGCUUAGACUUUGACACUUUCAAGCCUUUUAAACUUAGAAAAUUCAGGAGUCGAAUGCUUUCGUCUCUGACAGCUUCUGACUUUUCUCCAGUCACUAACAAGUCAUCUAUGUAUUGGAUUAGAACAGUACCGUGGUGGGGUUCAAAAGAUUCUAGCAACUGCUCUAAAGCUUGUCCAAAUAAGUUAGGGGACUCUGUAAAUCCCUGAGGCAGGAUGGUCCACCUAAGCUGCUGCUUUCUAUGAGAGUCAGGGUCUUCCCAUUCAAAAGCAAAAUAAUCUGUCCUCUUUAAGAGGGCAGACCCAAAAAGCAUCCUUCAAAUCAAUUGCGCUAUACCAUUUGUGUUCAGGGGAUAGCUGAUUUAAUAAAGUAUAGGGAUUGGCCACUACUGGGAACCGAGUAAUCGUCCGUUUGUUUACUUCUCUUGGAUCUUGCACCAAUCGAUAAGACCCAUCAGGUUUCUUUACUGGCAAGAUGGGUGUAUUAUGUGGUGACAUCCAUGGUUCCAGCAAUCCCUGCAUUAGGAGCCGUUCUAUAGUGGGCUUAAGUCCAACUCUUCCUUCAUGAGGGAUAGGAUAUUGCUUUACCCUUAUUGGCUCCCCUGGAUUUCGAAUAGAGACUUCAAAUGGUUUUAUAUCUAAUUUUCCCACAGAAUCAGGGGUAUACCACACUUCAGGAUUUAUUCUUUUUUCAUCUUCCGCUGUAAGGGAAUAUAUUUUAACUUGUAUUUUCUGCUCUUUCACUUCUAAAUUUAUUCCCAACUCUAUUAUCAAAUCUCUCCCUAAUAAAUUAUAUUCAGCCUCAGGGGCCAGCAAAAAUGUUCCUAAUGCAUAUUUAUUUUGGGCUUCUAUUUCCACAUCUUUAAUUAGGGGUAUUUUAAAAGGUUCUCCUUUAGCUCCUACCACUUGGACUGUGUCAGAGGAGGUCAUACAACCCCAAGGUAGUUUUCGGACAGUAGAUCUUUCUGCCCCCGAGUCCACUAGGAACUCGAGUUCUUGUUGCUGGGGACCUAUUUUAAGUUUUAUCAAGGGCUCGGUGUUCUUUUGUGUCCCCAGCAGAUAGAGCCCCUGACACCUUCAGUCUUCUUUAAAAAUCUGCUCAUCCUGCAGUCUUUUUCUGCAGUUUCUUUUUAUAUGUCCUUUUUGCCCACAAUAGUAAGACUCUAAUUCACUUAGGUUUGGUCUAUCAUGUCCUUUUGACAAUUCACAUCUAUCAGAUCCACGAGGGAUCCUUCGUCUCUGGUCUCUGUUUCCCCUCUGUCCUUCUCAUAUAGCCGCCGCCAAAAUCUUUGUCUGCCUCCUUUGCAUUUCCACCUGCCUCCUUUGCAUUUCUUCCUGUCUUUUCUGUAAUUCCUCCUGUCUCUCCUCCUGUCUUUUCUGCAUCUCUUCUUCUUUCCUUUGUCUUUCUUCCUCCUUUUCUUCAUCUCUACGUACGUACACUCUCUGAGCUUCCCUUAGCAACUCAUCCAAACCCUUAACCUGCCAAUCGUCACUCUUUUCUAACUUCCUCCGAAUAUCCUCCCACGAUCCCUGCACAAACCGCAUCUUAAGCAUAGCUCCCCCCAUCACAUCAUCCAUUGGAUCCAAGCCAGAAUAAAGCUGAAAGCUUUUUCUUAAUCUUUCCAGCCAAUCCGUAGGUGAUUCAUCUUUUUUCUGAUAUUCUUUAAAGGCUUUAUCUAUAUUCUGUCCUCUAGGGACUGCUUCCCUUAUACCCUGGACUAUGAUGGUCCUUAAAUCAGCCAUGUGAGCUCUAUCAGCCGCUGUCUGGUUAUCCCAGUUAGGUCUCUGAAGAGGCCAUUUAGUAUCGGCAGCUGGACCCUGCCGGUGUGUCUGGUCCCAGUGCCUCAUUCCUGCUGUUCUAAUCAUUCCUCGUUCUUCUACUGUAAAUAAGAUUCCUAAAAUCGCUUGCAUCUCAUCCCAGGUAUAUAUAUUUGGCCCUAGACACUGGUCAAAUCUUUCAGAUACUCCUAUAGGGUCUUCUAACAAUUUCCCCAUCUCCUUUUUAAACUCCCUCACAUCCUCUGAACUUAAAGGAACAGACACAAACCCUAGCCCAGCAUCUUGUCCUCCCAUUGCAAUCUCCCUUAAAGGAUAUAACUGACCUUCCAUCUUUUGUUUUUCCCUGGUUUGGCUUCUCAUUACUCUCCUGCUAUCAGCCGGUGAGGGGGGUGAGAGGUUCUCUAAUGAAGGGGGUACUGAUUCUGUUGGGGCAGAGGGCUGAAACAUUGGUUCUGGAAUGGGUGCAGGUGGUGGAGGGGGUGGGAUAUAUGGUGGAGGGUAUCUUUGGAAAUCCUCCAGAUCCCAGUUAUUCUUUUUCUGCUUUUUUGUUUCCUUUAAAGGAAACAAAUAAUUUCUAGUAUCUGAUUUGAUCCGUAAUCUAGCAUACUCGCUUUCUUCUGCACAAAACGGCUCUUUGUUAUUUACACACAGAUUUAAAGCCCGACAUAUCCAGUCUUCAAAUGAACCAUAUACUGGCCAAUACAAAUGAUCCUGUCUUAUUUGCUGCCCCCCCCAUACCUCCAUACAAUAAUGCACCAUCUUUUCUCUCGACUUUCCUUCUGUGGAGGGAUAUUCAUUCCAAUACCUAAUCAUAACUCCCAAAGGACUAUCUGGAGGUAUGCUCGGUAGCCUUGCCACUAGCUCAUUUUCAAACUUUCUCCUAUCCUGCGGGGUAUCCUGUAGCUUUUCUUUAGGAUCUCCUAUUCCAACUCCCUCCCUAGGUUUCUCUUCAGUCUUAAGACUGUCCUGAACUGUUUUACAGCCACCCAUGGGAGCAGAAGAUUCACUUUUCUUCUAUCCCAUCUUCCGGAAUGCCUUCACACACACCCACACCACUUGCUUCCCUCCUUUUGUGACUCGCUCCCUCGCAGGAAUACAAGAACUGCACUACUAGGAGGCCCACAAUCGCUUCGUCCCACUGGAUGUCUCAGCCAUUCACACUCCGGGAUCCCCUCCCAACCGAAAGGGGCCGCAAAUACUUACCCUCCUCAGGAUUUCUGCUUCCCAAAGCUUGGGCGGAUGGAGGAGGAGGC